Non-coding RNA from Saccoglossus kowalevskii, 1225 nucleotides. Lineage: Eukaryota; Metazoa; Hemichordata; Enteropneusta; Harrimaniidae. The record is from RefSeq and is a predicted model, not a curated record.
AUGAUCGGAGCCAAGACUGAAGAGGUAGCAGCAAUGAACGGCCUAUCAGUCAAUCUACAUUUAUUGUUGAUAUCAUUUUAUAGACCAACAAAAGAUAGAUAUAAAAUUCUGAUAGAAGAGAAAUCGUUUCCAUCUGAUCAUUAUGCAGUCGAAUCGCAAAUACGCUUACAUGGUUACGAUCCGAAGGAAUGCAUGGUUUUAGCAGAGCCUAGAGAGGGUGAGCACACUCUCCGGAUGGAGGAUCUUUUAAAUUUAAUUGAGAAAGAAGGUGAGAGCAUUGCAGUGAUUGUUUUCUCUGGUGUUCAGUAUUACACGGGACAGCUGUUUGACAUGAAGGCUAUUACUGAGGCUGGUCAUAAAUAGGGUUGCUACGUUGGUUUUGAUCUUGCCCAUGCUAUUGGUAAUGUGGAGAUAUCACUCCAUGAGUGGGACGUUGAUUUUGCUUGCUGGUGUUCGUACAAGUAUUUAAAUGCCGGUCCUGGUGGUUUGGCAGGAGCUUUUAUACACGAAAAACACGCACGUAAUGAUUUUCCAAAACUUAUUGGAUGGUGGGGACAUGAUAUAAAGUCACGGCUUAAAAUGUCAAAUGAGCUGGAGCUUGCUCCUGGCGUGGCUGGUUAUAGAAUAUCGAGCCCUCCAGUCAUUCUAGCAUGUGCACUGUUAGCAAGUAUGGAUAUUUUCAUGCAAGUUCCGAUGUCUGAUUUAAGAGCAAAGUCUUACCUGCUUACUGGCUAUCUAGAGUUACUGAUUCAAACAUACUAUUCUAAACCGUCUGAUCCUUUGGAAAACAAGCUCGACAAACCUUAUGUGGACAUCAUCACCCCAUCCGAUCCAAAACAACGGGGAUGUCAGCUCUCACUGAUGUUCUCCGUGCCAAUUUUAAAAGUAUUCGAGGAAUUGGAAAAACGAGGAGUUGUGUGUGACAAGAGAGAGCCAAAUGUUAUUCGUGUAGCACCGACAGCCAUGUACAAUUCCUUUACGGAUGUUCAUAGAUUCAUUACAUUUCUUGGGGAAGCUCUAAAUGCCGCGAAAUAGUGAUUGUCUAGACGGCUUGUCGCAUGAUGAGUAGAUAUGAGAUUAUAUUUGCGAGGAUAGAAUUAGUGUCGGCUAUUAAAUUGUAUUUAACUUCAGUUAAAUUGAAAGAACAUGGUCUUAAUGGUAAUUUUAUGUAAAUGGUGUGCUUUACAAUCAUUAUACACAUUAAAGCUUUAUAUGGCUUGCGUCA